This 391-nucleotide ribosomal RNA is filed under the name uncultured bacterium. Its description in RNAcentral is "bacterial SSU rRNA". It matches the Rfam family "Bacterial small subunit ribosomal RNA", at positions 505 to 898 of the family's 1533-position model. The record is from RNAcentral.
GUGUCAGCAGCCGCGGUAAUACGGAGGGUGCAAGCGUUAUCCGGAUUUACUGGGUUUAAAGGGUGCGUAGGCUGAUAGGUAAGUCAGUGGUGAAAUCCUGGAGCUUAACUCCAGAACUGCCAUUGAUACUAUCUAUCUUGAAUAUUGUGGAGGUUUGCGGAAUAUGUCAUGUAGCGGUGAAAUGCUUAGAUAUGACAUGGAACACCUAUUGCGAAGGCAGCAGGCUACACAUAUAUUGACGCUGAGGCACGAAAGCGUGGGGAUCAAACAGGAUUAGAUACCCUGGUAGUCCACGCCCUAAACGAUGAUUACUCGACAUACGCGAUACACUGUGUGUGUCUGAGCGAAAGCAUUAAGUAAUCCACCUGGGAAGUACGACCGCAAGGUUGAA